CUCCAGCCAGCAGUCAGGAAUUUUCACGGAGAACCUCAACUUUAGAUCUUCAGGGACUCAAGGCAAGAUCCCUGGCCUUUGCAUGCCUCAGGUGAGAAAAGAAAAGCCUGAGAGACUCAGCUGCCUGGCAAAUGGCCUGAGCACCUGGCCAUCCUAAAGCAGCAGCAGUCAUACAGCAACAGCCCCGCAGCAGAGCGCAACGUCAGACUCCAUCUCCACAAGUCACUCACCUUUCCCUCAGCAACAAAGAGGUCCUUGCAGCCAGCAGGAAGAGAGAGAUGACCACCGACUCUAGCAUGACAUCUUGGUGAGACUUGUGGAAGCAUGGAGGAUUGGUCAGAGACACUAAAUGGAGCCUUUCUGGAACAAGGAAUAUUCAUUGUCCAGGGAGGUUUUAUGGCAAAUCCUGAGACAAAUUUCUUGGGAAGUAAAAACCUGGCAAGGGGGAAGUUCCACCCUCCUGGAUGGAACAAUCAGGGUUGACUCAACUCCUGCUUUGGUUUAUAGAGGCCCAUCCAGUCAGGAUCAUUGAGGCUGGAAAAGGCCUCCAAGGCCACUGAGUCCAACCUUGUCAUCAACCCAAAGCUCCAUGUCUGAUCCUUCCUUGGAUGUCACCAUCAU
RNAcentral lists this long non-coding RNA (621 nucleotides) under Junco hyemalis (dark-eyed junco). Its description in RNAcentral is "lncRNA (ENSJHYG00000018393.1)". Lineage: Eukaryota; Metazoa; Chordata; Aves; Passeriformes; Passerellidae. The record is from RNAcentral.